This is a long non-coding RNA of Harpia harpyja (harpy eagle), 606 nucleotides long. RefSeq lists it as uncharacterized. Lineage: Eukaryota; Metazoa; Chordata; Aves; Accipitriformes; Accipitridae. The transcript has 3 exons. The record is from RefSeq and is a predicted model, not a curated record.
AGGGCGGGGGCCGGGGCACGAGCAGUCGCUGCCCUGACUGGAAGCGACCGCGACAGGCGGGAGCGAGGGCUGGGGCCAACGCGCGCGGCUCCCUCUGGUCCUUGCUCGGCCGCAGUCAGCCACGUCAACCGCCGUACCGGCAGGUGCUUCUCAGACCUCGGUCGAGGCUGUGCUCCCCGGGCUGUUAACGGCUUCACCGCCUACCUCUCGUGCGACGCGGGCUUAACGCAUUCUUCUCGCCUCCAGCCUGCAGCUCCGGUUCCUCCCAGUCCGCCGGACGUUUAUCUGAAGAGCUGAAGCACCAUGCACCAGCGGCUCACUGGCAGAUGUAGGUUCCAGGAUGAGAUUCCUAUCAGCAUUACAACAUAGUUAUGAAGAGUUCCUGGCUCCAAUAAACCAGGGAAGAGGACCUGAACCUGUUUGUACAGUGAAACAUCAGAAUACUCGAGUUGUGAAAUUACACAAUGAGUGAUGGUAUCUUUGUAUUAAAACACCUACCACAUUGUGAAGUCUACAGAAAAAACUCUACAAAACUGCAUGAUUAGUGUAUUAUCCUUAGACUUAACAAGCACUGGUUUUCUUCUGCAAUAAAACAUUCUUUACUUA